This 1215-nucleotide ribosomal RNA is filed under the name Triticum aestivum (bread wheat). RNAcentral describes it as "partial small subunit ribosomal RNA". The record is from RNAcentral. Lineage: Eukaryota; Viridiplantae; Streptophyta; Magnoliopsida; Poales; Poaceae.
AUGAAGCUCCAUCUCCUGCUGAAGGUCCUGUUCGGGCCGGUGCCGGUCUACUUCUCGGCGCUGGCCAUCCUCAUCCUCCUGACCAACGCACAGUACUUUGGGCUCGGCGGCGUCGGCGUGCCGCGCGCCACCAAGCUGGCCUCCUCCACGCCGGUGGUGAGCGUGAUGAAGUACUGCGACAUCUUCCGCGGCGAGUGGGUGCCCGACGCGGAGGCGCCCUACUACAACCACAAGACGUGCGGCAUGAUCCAGGAGCACCAGAACUGCCUCAAGUACGGCCGCCCGGACCUCGGCUUCCUCAAGUGGCGGUGGAGGCCGUCCGGCUGCGAGCUGCCGCGCUUCGACCCGGUCCAGUUCCUGCAGUUCGUCCGCCACAAGUCCCUGGCCUUCGUCGGGGACUCCCUGGCUCGCAACCAUAUGCAGUCCUUGCUCUGCCUCCUCUCACAGGUCGCGUAUCCCAAGGACAUCUCGGCGAACCCGACGGACCAGAACAAGGUGUACUACUACCGGGCCUACAACUUCACCAUCAACAUGUUCUGGUCGCCGUUCCUGGUGCGCGCGCGGGAGCCCGACCACGACGACCCGGCGCACACGGGGCACUACAGCCUCUACCUGGACGAGCCGGACGACAAGUGGGUGUCGCAGGUGCCCCGGUUCGACUACGUGCUGGUGUCGGCGGCCAACUGGUUCUCCCGCCCCUCGCUCUUCUACGAGAAGCGGCGGCUGAUCGGGUGCAGCUUCUGCAGCCGGCAGUACGGCGUGCCGGACCUGACGCUCUACUACUCGCAGCGCAAGGCGUGGCGCGUGGCGCUGCGGGCGAUCAACGCCCUGGACGGCGUCAAGGGGCGGGUGAUCGUGCGGAUGCUGUCGCCCAUGUCGCACUUCGAGAACGGAACGUGGGACCAGGGCGGCAACUGCAAGCGGACGGAGCCGAUCCGGAGCAACCAGACGGUGAUGGAGGGGCGCGACCUGCAGUUCUACACGGCGCAGAUGGAGGAGUACCGCGCGGCGGAGAAGGCGGCGCGGCCCAAGGGGCUCCGGCUGAUGCUCAUGGACGCCACGGCGGCCAUGCUGAUGCGGCCCGACGGGCACCCCAGCCGGUACGGCCACUGGCCCAACGAGAAGGUGCAGCUCUACAACGACUGCAUCCAUUGGUGCCUGCCCGGCCCCAUAGACAUCUGGAACGACCUCUUGUUCCAGAUGAUGCUAGUCUAG